RNAcentral lists this ribosomal RNA (513 nucleotides) under uncultured Burkholderiales bacterium. Its description in RNAcentral is "bacterial SSU rRNA". It matches the Rfam family "Bacterial small subunit ribosomal RNA", at positions 26 to 507 of the family's 1533-position model. Lineage: Bacteria; Pseudomonadati; Pseudomonadota; Betaproteobacteria; Burkholderiales. The record is from RNAcentral.
CCUGGCGUCUAGAUUGAACGCUGCGGCGACUGCCUUACACAUGCAAGUCGAACGGCACGGCACGGGGGCGAACCCUCGGUGGCGGAGUGGCGAACGGGUGGAGGUAAGUACGAAUCGGAAACCGGUGUCCUCGUAGUGGGGGAGUAGCCCGGCGAAAGCCGGAUUAAUACCGCAUACGCUCUACGGAGAAAGGGGGGGAGUCUUAGGACCUCCCGCUACAGGGGCGGCCGAUGGCAGAUUAGCUAGUUGGUGGGGUAAAGGCCUACCAAGGCGACGAUCUGUAGCUGGUCUGAGAGGACGACCAGCCACACUGGGACUGAGACACGGCCCAGACUCCUACGGGAGGCAGCAGUGGGGAAUUUUUGGACAAUGGGGGCAACCCUGAUCCAGCAAUGCCGCGUGUGUGAAGAAGGCCUUCGGGUUGUAAAGCACUUUUGUCCGGAAAGAAAACGCCGUGGUUAAUACCCGUGGCGGAUGACGGUACCGGAAGAAUAAGCACCGGCUAACUACGUG